Molecule: ribosomal RNA, 520 nt
Filed under: uncultured bacterium
Lineage: Bacteria
Description: bacterial SSU rRNA
Rfam family: Bacterial small subunit ribosomal RNA
Source: RNAcentral
CCAGAGAACUUAGCAGAGAUGCUUGGUGCCUUCGGGAACUCUGAGACAGGUGCUGCAUGGCUGUCGUCAGCUCGUGUUGUGAAAUGUUGGGUUAAGUCCCGCAACGAGCGCAACCCUUAUCCUUUGUUGCCAGCGAUUCGGUCGGGAACUCAAAGGAGACUGCCGGUGAUAAACCGGAGGAAGGUGGGGAUGACGUCAAGUCAUCAUGGCCCUUACGGCCAGGGCUACACACGUGCUACAAUGGCGCAUACAAAGAGAAGCGACCUCGCGAGAGCAAGCGGACCUCAUAAAGUGCGUCGUAGUCCGGAUUGGAGUCUGCAACUCGACUCCAUGAAGUCGGAAUCGCUAGUAAUCGUAGAUCAGAAUGCUACGGUGAAUACGUUCCCGGGCCUUGUACACACCGCCCGUCACACCAUGGGAGUGGGUUGCAAAAGAAGUAGGUAGCUUAACCUUCGGGAGGGCGCUUACCACUUUGUGAUUCAUGACUGGGGUGAAGUCGUAACAAGGUAGGCGUAGAUGA